Molecule: long non-coding RNA, 1180 nt
Filed under: Homo sapiens (human)
Lineage: Eukaryota; Metazoa; Chordata; Mammalia; Primates; Hominidae
Description: non-protein coding ARRDC1-AS1:5
Source: RNAcentral
CAGGUUCCCGUUGCGGCGGGGUUCCCUCGGUUGGGAGGAAUGCCCCUGCCGAGGGCCCGCUGCCCAGGUAUGCACAAGUCAAGGCCUUUUCUGCAGACCAAGUAGCCUUCCCUGGAGAGCGCCCCCAGCACCACGGAAACUACCUACAUGCCCCGCGGUGGUCAGCCCGCCUUAUCCCAGCCCCGAGACCCAAAACAAGAAGCAUGGACUGAAUUUGAGGUUUCUGGAUGGUCGUGUGAACCGAGGGGACGGGUACUGGACUGACAAGAAAUGAGCCUUGAAGGUCAAUCUGGGUGACACCCGAGUCUCCUGAUGGAGUUUCACUAUGUUGCCCAGGCUGAUCUGGAACUCCUGACCUCAAGCAAUCCACCUGCCUCAGCCUCCCAAAGUACUGGGAUUACAGGAGGGAGCCACCGUGCCCGGCCUGGUCCUGUGCAUUUUAUAGAUAAGGUAACUGACAAACCUAGCCACAGUCACCCCUUCGCCCUAAAGGAGAACUGGAAUUUGAACCCAGAGCCUUCUUCACCACCAUCUCCGUUGUUUCUGGAAGCACCCUCCAGGCAGGCCAGCCAGCAUCACGGGGCCUCCCCUGGGGCUGGAACGUCUGCAGGAUGCCCCUUUGAGAAAUGCUGUUCCACAGAACCCUGCCUUUCAGGCCUUGGAGACGUGGGCAGGGGAGAAGCAGCGUCCCUCAGAGCCAGGCCUGGCAGUGGUGCUAGCAGGGGCCAAGGCCCAGGGAGCAGGGUCUCCUGUCGGAGGGACCUGGGCAAGCCCCUCCACGCGCCAGCGGGUUUCUCAGCAGGGGAGGUCCACACCACACCGCUUGGGAACCUGGGUGCCUAAACGCAACAGGAGCCAAGGCACAAAUUUAACCAAACACCAAGGUUGCGUGAGGCCCCAUUUCAUGAGCCGGGCUCCAAGGACGUGUCCUUAGGCGGCUCUGGAAGGCCCAGCGCCAGCCCCCGUCCUCUGUUAAAGGGAGCCAGCCCCGCGGCUCCGCCCAGGCAUGGUAGCCUGAGCGCGCCCCCAGGGUAGUAGGGGGCACCUGAGGAGCAGGGUCUGCCCUGGCAUGAGCAGAGCCCAGGAUGGGGUCAGGGUCAGGCCCUGCCAGAGGCUGGAGGGUGCCCAAGGCGAGGCCGGUGAGGCCCAGCUCUACAAAUAAAGUGUUUUAUUUACAGGA